UUGCGGCGGCCAUGGCCCAGGUGAGACGCCCGGUCCCAUUCCGAACCCGGAAGCUAAGGCCUGGCACGGCGAUGGUACUGCACCCGACAGGGUGUGGGAGAGUAGCACGCCGCCGCAAC
RNAcentral lists this ribosomal RNA (119 nucleotides) under Bifidobacterium reuteri. The record is from RNAcentral. Lineage: Bacteria; Bacillati; Actinomycetota; Actinomycetes; Bifidobacteriales; Bifidobacteriaceae.